This 557-nucleotide long non-coding RNA is filed under the name Cyanistes caeruleus (blue tit). RNAcentral describes it as "lncRNA (ENSCCEG00000019032.1)". Lineage: Eukaryota; Metazoa; Chordata; Aves; Passeriformes; Paridae. The record is from RNAcentral.
CAAAGUCAAAAGUGUCUGGUAAGUACAAUUCAAUGUCUGCCUCUGAUUUUUAUUGCAGGGAUAGAAUUUCCCUGCAGUUCUUUUCAGAGAGCUGUGACUGGGCAGGGGAAUGUCUGCACUAUCAUCUGAGAGUGUUUCUGCUGUGAAUUCCCGGUGGGCUGCGGGGACAGAGCAGAGCCCUGCCCUGGACUGGGACUGGAUAUCCUGCCAGCACCCCUGUGGAAAUCCCUGAUAAAAGACUAGUGGCUGUAAGGAUGGACUAGAACACACAAAAGUCCACAGGGCAUGUCUGGCCACUGAAACAGCAGAAGACUUUUUGGGUCUUUUCUUCUCCUUUUUCGUACAUUGCUGAGUGAACCUCUCAAAGCAGGUUCCAUGAACAUGUAUUUCCCCCAUGCUACACGGAAAUGCUGUCACAAAAAUCAGAACCUGACGAAGCUGCUUCCAUGCAUCAUUAUCCCACAGCACUGCUUCCAGCACCCCUCAGAUGUUGUUUUUUGGAGUUGAUGCUGAUCACCAUGAUCUGUGCAGCUCAGCCUCGUUGCAGCUGUAAUUAA